This 379-nucleotide ribosomal RNA is filed under the name uncultured soil bacterium. RNAcentral's name for it is "bacterial SSU rRNA". It matches the Rfam family "Bacterial small subunit ribosomal RNA", at positions 26 to 390 of the family's 1533-position model. The record is from RNAcentral.
AGAUUGAACGCUGGCGGCAGGCCUAACACAUGCAAGUCGAGCGGCAGCACGGGUACUUGUACCUGGUGGCGAGCGGCGGACGGGUGAGUAAUGCCUAGGAAUCUGCCUGAUAGUGGGGGAUAACGUUCGGAAACGGACGCUAAUACCGCAUACGUCCUACGGGAGAAAGUGGGGGAUCGUUCGGACCUCACGCUAUCAGAUGAGCCUAGGUCGGAUUAGCUAGUUGGUAGGGUAAAGGCCUACCGAAGGCUACGAUCCGUAACUGGUCUGAGAGGAUGAUCAGUCACACUAGGAACUGAGACACGGUACCAGUACCUCCGUACGGGAGGCAGCGAGGUGGGAAUAGUUAGGACUAAAGUACGGGGGAAACCCUGACUCC